AAUUAUUUGGCUGUUUUCUCCAGGCAGAGCACAUUGCACUCUUCUCUGUACUACCAAGUUAAGGGAAGCCUCUGAAAACUGGAACAAGACAAGGAUGCCCACUCUCACCAGUCCUCUUCAAAAUAGUACUGGAAGUCCUAGCCAGAGCAAUCAGACAAGAGAAAGAAAUAAAGGGCAUCCAAAUCAGUAAAGAGGAAGUCAAACUGUCACUAUUUGCUGAUGAUAUGAUUGCUUACCUUGAAAACCCUAAAGACUCCUCCAGAAAGCUCCUAGAACUGAUAAAAUAAUUCAGCAAAGUUUCUGGACACAAGAUUAAUAUACACAAAUCAAUAGUUCUUCUAUACACAAACAGCAGCCAAGCAGAGAAUCAAAUCAAGAACUCAACCCCUUUUACAGUAGCUGUGAAAAAGUAAAAUACUUAGGAAUAUACCUAACCAAGGUGGCAAAAGACCUCUACAAGGAAAACUACAAAAACCUGCUGAAAGAAAUCAUAGACAACACCAACAAAUGAAAAGACAUCCCAUACUCAUGGAUGGGUAGAAUCAAUAUUGUGAAAAUGACCAUACUGCCAAAAGCAAUCUACAAAUUCAAUUUAAUCUCCAUAAAAAUACCACCAUAAUUCUUCACAGAAUUAGAAAAACAAUUCUAAAAUUCGUAUGGAAUCAAAAAAGAGCCCGCAUAGCCAAACAAAGACUAAGCAAAAAGAACAAAUCUGGAGGUAUCACACUACCUGAUUUCAAACUAUGCUAUAAGGCCAUAGUCACCAAAUCAGCAUGGUACUGGUAUAAAAAUAGACAUAGACACAUAGACCAAUGCAACAGAAUAGAGAACCCAGAAAUAAAUCCAAAUACUUACAGCCAACUGAUCUUCGACAAAGCAAACAAAAACAUGAAGUGGGGAAAGGACACUCUUUUCAACAAAUGGUGCUGGGAUAAUUGGCAAGCCACAUGUGGAAGAAUGAAACUGGAUCCUCAUUGCUCACCUUGUAUAAAAAUCAACUGAAG
Molecule: long non-coding RNA, 1004 nt
Filed under: Homo sapiens (human)
Lineage: Eukaryota; Metazoa; Chordata; Mammalia; Primates; Hominidae
Description: non-protein coding lnc-CAB39L-8:1
Source: RNAcentral